This 241-nucleotide unclassified non-coding RNA is filed under the name Hevea brasiliensis (rubber tree). The record is from RNAcentral. Lineage: Eukaryota; Viridiplantae; Streptophyta; Magnoliopsida; Malpighiales; Euphorbiaceae.
UUUAGUUAUAGAGGCGAUAUAGUGCAGCCUCAGUUGAAAUCGCCACCUGUUUAUCACCAAGUGCAUGAAAAGCCUCAACAUUAUUAUCAGGCUUCUUUGAGUAGGGAUGAGGAAGAGAGUAGAAGAUCAUUUGAUUAUGAGUACAGAUAUGAAGCUGCACGCUGCACUGGUGUGGAUUAUGAUAUAGAAUAUGACAGUGCUAGAAAUAGGUUUCAUCCCAAAGAUGUUUCAUGCUACACGG